UACGGAGGGGGCAAACGUUGUUCGGAAUUACUGGGCGUAAAGGGUGCGUAGGCGGUUCGGCAAGUCUAGCGUGAAAUCUCUCAGCUUACCUGAGAAACUGCGCUGGAAACUGCCGAGCUCGAGAAUGGGAGAGGCAGAUGGAAUUCCUGGUGUAGCGGUGGAAUGCGUAGAUAUCAGGAAGAACACUCGUGGCGAAGGCGGUCUGCUGGCCCAUUUCUGACGCUGAGGCACGAAAGCCAGGGGAGCGAAC
This 250-nucleotide ribosomal RNA is filed under the name uncultured bacterium. RNAcentral describes it as "partial 16S ribosomal RNA". It matches the Rfam family "Bacterial small subunit ribosomal RNA", at positions 524 to 773 of the family's 1533-position model. The record is from RNAcentral.